GCAUUUAACGCACAUUCCCUGCUCAAACUGAUUAAAAUGACAGCACAGUGUAAUGUCCACUUGUUACUUGUGUUUUUUGGUGUUUUGUCGCCCUCUGCUGGCGCUUGGGUGCGACUGAUUUUAUGGGUUUCAGCACCAUGAAUGAGCAUUGUGUAAUUAUUGACAUCAACAAUGGCGAGCUACUAAGUUUAUUUUUUGAUUGAAAAUUUUACGAAUUUUAUUAAAACGGAAACAUUAAGAGGGGUUUUGAUACAAAAUUUCUAUAACUUGUACUAAUAUUUAUCUUUUAAGAACUCCGAGUCUCUAUCCAUGGAUCGCUUUAACAAAAUGUUAAUAAUGUUAAAGCCAUCUUGUUGAUUUAUUGUUAUAAUAAACAAAUACAGUACUUAUGUUCGGUAGGUUGAAUGUAUAUAUCCGUCUUGCGUCUUAUCUUUCCAUUCCAACAAUAAUUUACAGAAAAAUAUGGCAUAUUUUAUAGAUGGUUUGAAUUGCGAUUAAUUACGAUUAAUUAAUUUUUAAGCUGUAAUUAACUCGAUUAAAAAUUUUAAUCGUUUGACAGCCCUAAUAUACUGUAUACAGUAUAUGUAUAAUCUAACACAUACAUACAAAACACUCAGGUGACUUAAAGUUCCACUCUGAGACACCCAAUCUGGCCAACUUUCAUAGUUGUCAUUGGAAAGCUUAAAAUCUCAAUUUUUGAAAAUUUUGAACAGGAGGGCAUUUAAAAAAAAAAGUUUUUAAACCGUAAAACCCUGACUGGAGGUGAGAGCACGCAGAGCAUAAUUAAACACGACACAAUUUUAUAUGAGAUAUUAUACUUACGAACUUACCUCUUUUCGCUCCAAAAACUCCAUGUAGCAUGUAUUACUGAGUGUCAAGACACAGCUGUGAAUGGCCACAGCCAGAUUUUGGGGGGAUUUUAUGGGUCAAACAUGGUAAUAUAACAAGUGUUGCGAUGCAGAAAUUGCAGACAUCAAGGAGUGGUCGAGAUUUUUCAUAUAUUUUUCAUAUAUUUACCCUUUUAAAGAUUUUUUUUUUCUUUUCAAUUUUUCUUUGUUUGGAUCGAUUAUUCAUCAUGUAACAUAUCAGGGGAAAUCCGUCAAUAACAAAAAAAAAUACAAUUAAGCGAUAGUUACGAAGUAGAUAUCUGUGACUUAUUUACAGACAUUUUUUUCAUUGUGACAAUUUGUUUAAAAGUUUUAAAUAUGCGAGUAAAUAUUUAAGUAGUUUUUUUUUUCAAACAAAAUAUAAGGCAUCAAUUAAUGAUUUUUUGCUAAAAAUGACAGAUAUUUUGAAUAACAAAUAUAGUUAAUUUUAAUGGCUAGGUUGAAACAAAACCGGGGGUUUCCAGGGUAAAACGGAUAAACUAAAAUAGUUUGGGGGCUCAAUGUGCCAUGAAUCUGCUAUGGCAGCAUAUAGACAUAUUGUUCUAUCAAACACAACAGUUCUUUUGGCUUAAAAUACAGUAGUUUAUUUUAAAGAGGGGUGCAAGAGCAGAAACGGCUUUUUCAGCCUUGUCUGUGUUUUUCGCCAUAUACGCAUUGAAAAAAUUGAAUAUAACCAGGGGUGCACAUAUUUUUUUUGCCCAGGUUCUCAGAGGAGGACCUGGAGAUGUGACUUGGUCCUCAUUGAGCUUGAGAGCCAACCCGCCUGAUGCGAUAAAAUUAUGACAAGCUUUAGUUGGAGCCAAAUACCUUUUAUUAAUUAUAUUAACAAUUAAUGCCUGAUUAACAUCAACUGGCACAACAAAAUUGCCAUUACUUUGAAGUGAAAUGUAAAGAAAUAAACAUAAAAGCAGUACUAAUUCAAAAUAAAGGGCAUUAUACGGCUCCCACAUUAACUCCAAGCCUUUGUAAAAGUGGGAUGUCCUCCUCCUCAUAAGAGCUCAUUGAACGUGCAUGUUUAGCCUUGUGAAAUGCGAGCAAAAACACGUUUGUCAGUGCAUGGCGCUGCUCUUCAUUAACUUUAUUCCGCCACUUGUCCAUAGGGCGAGUGGGGUGCUGCCUGACAUCGAUAGUUUGCUUAAUUGCCACAUGCUCUGUUUUUUUCGUGCAUUUCAAAGUUUGGAUGGCUGAAAUUCUUAGACCCAACAUAAAAUGCGCUGCCGUUAUCAGCGAUUCUCACGGCAAAUUUUGUACCACAUAUCCGUGCGAGCAUCAUUUGCUUCUAGCUAUGGUACCUCCUGCAGCCACUUUUCAGCAAAAGUCCUUUUUUCGGUAGCUCCGGUGACGUCUCUGUCGUCUGUCUGUCCUUUGACGGGGGUGGGGGAACACGGAAAUAAUUACUCAGUGGGGCCUGCCUCCGACAUAUUGAGAAGUGAUUAUCUCGUGUCCGCCGCAAAUACAGUGGUCAGCCAUCUGUACACUGUAAAUGCUAACAUUCAAAUUAAUUAAAUUUGAUAAGUGAACUAAACUCAGUUUUCAUCAACCUGUUGUGAACACUACUUUUAAAUAAGUAAGUAGUAAUUUGGGGUUGGAGAACUUGCUUAACUUGAUAUAUCCCAGUUAAGUCAAAUUAGAAAAAAUAAUUUAUCGUACCCAGUGUCCUUUGCGCGUUCUAUCAGACAUGCGCAGAUCUGCCCUGCCUACUUUCGCGCUCUUUCCAACACCUUUCUCAUUUAUUUUCGCCAUUGUGGGUUUAUUUGUCCUCAGCACACUGAUUUGGCUGAAGCAAAUGGUCAGAAGUCCACACAUACCUCAGUCUCUGCAAUUACAGGUCAACCAGAGCAGUAUUCUCUAAUGCAGUGGACUUGUAAGUACUGCACAUUUUCUGCUGGAAAGAGAGGCUACUUGCUUAAGCAUUACCGCUUAAAACAUGGAUACCACACUCGGACAUCACUACUCCCCAUGUCUUCAUAAGGACUGCCUCUGCACAUUUAAAUCUUUUAAUGCACUCAAAGUACACCUAUCGACAUGCCACUCUCAAAAAGAUGCAGACAAAAGUGGAGAAACUGCAUUUGACUGUCAGUUGUGCAACUUUGUGGAGCCUUGUUAAGAAGCAGACUUCUUUACCCAUUUGCGAAGACAUCUUAAGCUGAGGCAAAUGGUUACUUGCAUAUAUCAAGACUGUAACUUUCAGAGCACUGUUUAUUCUACCUUCACUGCACACAAAAGCAGAAAUGUGAAAUGAGUUUGAACCAUAGUAUGGGUAGGACAUUUGUGUCUAAAUCAUUCAAUCCCAAUAAAAGUUGCUUCAAUCAAAAAAAAUAUUUUUAAUGAAAGAAAAAGAACCUCUUGCUAAAAUGUUUUUUUGAAAAUAUAUAUUUUUUGAAAUAUAUAUAUUUUUUUAUUGACGUGUCACUUUUUUUGCAAAGCAUGAAGUUUUAAACUUUUUUUUUUUUUUAAAGUGGAAAAAG
Molecule: long non-coding RNA, 3355 nt
Organism: Corythoichthys intestinalis (scribbled pipefish)
Lineage: Eukaryota; Metazoa; Chordata; Actinopteri; Syngnathiformes; Syngnathidae
Exons: 3
Source: RefSeq, a predicted model, not a curated record